GUCAGGGCAGUGAGAAAGCAAAGAAAUAGAUGUGAACCUGAAGAGCUGUGGGUUGGAAAGAUAAAUAGCUUAUUUCAUUAGGAAAACUUUGAGAGACAUAGUAUUGCCAAAUUCUAGAAAGUGAGUCAGUCCUUAAACGUGGACUAAUUGUAGCCAUGCAUUGAAUGUAAUACACGUAUUUUAUCAUACAAAAUUUAUAAAAUUAACAAAUAUUAUAGUAAUAAAAUUUUUAACUUAUACAAUUAACAAAUGUUAUAAUAUGUAUUAAGAAAUUACUGUAUAACUAAUGGGUACUAGGCUUAAUACCUGGGUGAUGAAAUAAUCUGACAACAAACUCCCAUAACACAUAUUUAGCUAUGCAACAAACCUGCACAUGUACCCCUGCAAACUAUGUGUCCAUCAACAGAUGAAUGAAUAAAGAAUGUAUGAUAUCAUUCUCAGUAAACUAUCACAAGGACAAAAAACCAAACACCGCAUGUUCUCACUCAUAGGUAGGAAUUGAACAAUGAGAACUCUUGGACAGAGGAAGGGGAACAUCACACACCGGGGCCUGUUGUGGGGUAGGGGAAGAGGUGAGGGAUAGCAUUAGGAGAUAUACCUCAUGUAAAUGAUGAGUUAAUGGGUGCAGCACACCAACAUGGCACAUGUAUACAUAUGUAACAAACCUGCACGUUGUGCAUGUGUACCCUAAAACUUAAAGUAUAAUAGUAAAAAAAACCGUAUGAUACAUGUAUACAAUGGAGUACUAUUCAGCCAUAAAAAUGAAUGAGAUUCUGUCAUUUGCAUCAAUAUGGAUGGAACUGGGGGUCAUUAUGUUAAGUGAAAUAAGCCAGGCACAGAAAGACAAACUUCACAUGUUCUCUUAUUUGAGAAAGCUAAAAAUUAAAACAAACUCAAAAAAAAAAAAAGAAACUAACCACACACACACAAAAUGUGUUACACACUAUAUACAUGAUUCCACUUAAUCUUUACUGGUGCCUAGGAGGUAGAUGCAUUAGCAUUCUUAUUUUAUAUAUGAGAAAGCUCAGAUUUGGAAAGAUUCAUUAACUUAUUAUUUAAGUUAUAAUAACUUAAUAACUUAUUAUUUAAGUUAAAUGGCAGAGCCAGUCCUAAAAUGCUCCUCCACCUGACUUAAGAGUUUUGGGUCACACCUAACCAGAAAUUCUAACAAAGGGAAGCAAAUGUAAAAACAUAUGAACAUAAAACACAUGAACAUAUGAACAUGAGAUUCAAUGUCACAGGCAACAGAAUAAGAAAGUAGGUUGAUUCAGAACUCAGAUUUUAUCUUCUAGCACGGUGAUAAUAACAAAACACUUCCAGACACCUGACUUAGAACCAGAAUUUUUACACUCAAAAAUAAGCUAUAUCAAAUGUCCACUUAGACUCAUGUCAUUAUAGUAAUAAGCUAAUUUAUAAUCAUUGUUAAUUAUCAAAUUGUCAGAUGUUAAUACUACAACAGCAGCAACAAGAAUAAUAAACCACUCUCUACCAGGAAAAACUGACUCAUGCAGCCAAUACCAGGCUUGCUUCGUCAGGGUAUUGGCAUAUUAACAAUGAUGGAUGUGUAAGCAAAGAGCUGUAAAUCUGGAUGCAGGGACUCUUGAACAUCAACUAGAAGGAAGUGAGAUGAUCAAGUAUUUUUCUCUUGCCAGAUAUCAUUUCAUAUAUUCACUAAAAUAGUUCAUCAUCUGCUCUCUGAGGCAAUGAAGUUGCUUAAGUAAAAUUACUAUGGCUGCCCUAUUUAUUUCAGUUACACCCAGUUGAAAAAAUAAUUUAAUUUGAAGGAACUGAAUAUAAAUUUAUUCUUCCAUAUCUUUCUAUAAAAUAAAGGUCUAUUAAGGUCUUUAUAUUUUAAGUGUAACCUAAAAACUCCUAUUUUUUUUUCUGAUAACCACAAUUCUUGCCACAUGACAGCCUCAAAGAUGCUUUUGCUAGAAUAGCUAUAUGCCAAAAUGUUGGAUAUUUAAAAUACAGUUCUGCCUCUGACCUUCUUGUUGACACAAACCCUGUAACAUUUUUCUAAGAAUCAUUCUGAAUUCUGAUGCUGCUAAGAGUUAACAUUUAUUUCUCACUUUCGUUGUUUCCUUCCAUCUGAGUGACAUGCCUGGCCUCCCCAGCUUGAUUCAGAUUGUGAAUUCAUCAGAUUGGUAGAGUCUGGGAGACGACUAACUCUCCUGGCUGCCAGCCUGCCUGUGCUGCCUUGAGCAACAGUGAGGGACCACAUGUGCACUGUAUGGAUUAACUUGUAACAUCAGAGACAAGUACCCAAGUAUCAACAGCACAUAAAUUCAAGUCCGCAUGCAAUAGUCUUCACAACAUGCUAUGAGCUGGAGACCAAAAUGUUAGACGGAGAGAGAAGCAGAGACCCACAGCAAACACCAUGUGAGGAUGGAAGCAGAGUUUGGAGUGAAGCAGCAACAAGCCAAAGAGUGCUGAGCACCACCUGAAACUGGAAGAGACAAGGAAUGGAGUCACCGUGAGAGCCUCUGGAGGGACUAAAACUUUGCCAGUGCCUUGAUUUUAGACCUCCAGGCUCCAGAACUGCAAGAGAGUUUGUAUUUUUGUAAGCCACCAGGUUGGUGGUAAUUUGCUUGGAAGCCACAGGAAACAGAUGCACCAUGUCUUCAGACACCCUUUCUGUGACACCAUUCAAGCUUCUUGACAUCAGAAUGCAAGGCUGCAGACCUGAGAAUGUACUCUAGACAUUCCUUAUGUCAAUGCAGACUUGGGGCCAGCCAUAACAACUUAAAAUCUAGGUCCUUCAGCCUAUAUAUGAAUUACUGUUCUUCAUAUUUGAUUCAAAAUGUUUCAACUAAUACUAAAGCAAACCUACAGGAGCAGAAACUCCUAAUUUCAUGGAAGAACCUCCCUUCUUUAUUGAGGGAAAUGGAAUUACCCAAGGAAAAGAUGAAAAGAAGUGAAAUGUUCCUUCCUUUGCUGCUCUCAUUGAAUCUACUUUGACACUGAAGAAGCAAAUUCUGCCACUGAUCUUUUUGCAUGCUUAGUAUUACGUCUGUACAAGUGAGGGUGAAUUUCGCCUAAAAGAUUUUAAGAUUCUUUCUAGCUCUAAGAGUCUCUGUAAUUAUUUUUCUUUUUCUCAAUAAAUAUGUGUUGAAUAAAAGAACAAAUCAACAAAUGAAAACAUUGCUAUACAUGGAGCCAAAGUCAUUAAGCCUAUUGUAUUAUAAUAACAAGUAUUUAAGCUAAAAAGAAUACGUGUCUUACCAAAAUAUGAUUCCCUGGGACAAUAACCCAAACAGAUGAUAAAUUGUUGCAGGAAGGCAGGGACCCCGAAUGGAGGGACCAGCUGAAGCCAUGGCAGAAGAAUGUGGAUUGUGAAGAUUUCAUGGACAUUUAUUAGUUCCCCAAAUUAAUACUUUUAUAAUUUCUUACACUUGUCUUUACUGCAAUCUCUGAACAUAAAUUGUGAAGAUUUCAUGGACGCUUAUCACUUCCCCAAUCAAUACCCUUGUGAUUUCCUAUGCUUGUCUUUACUUUAAUCUCUUAUUCCCAUCAUCUUCAUAAGCUGAGGAGGAUGUAUGUCGCCUCAGGACCCUGUGAUGAUUGCACUAACUGCACAAAUUGUUUGUAGAGCAUGUGUGUUUGAACAAUAUGAAAUCUGGGCACCUUGAAAAAAGAACAGGAUAACAGCAAUGUUCAGGGAACAAGAGAGAUAACCUUAAACUCUGACUGCCAGUGAGCCAGGCAAAACAGAGCCACAUUUCUCUUCUUUCAAAAGCAAGUGGGAGAAGUAUCUCUGAAUUGUUUUUCUCAGCAAGCAACAUCCCUGAGAAAGAGAAUGCAUCCCUGAGGGUAGGCCUCUGAAAUGGUCACUUUGGGGGCGGCUGUCUUUUAUGGUCACAGCUGUGGGAUGAAAUAAGCCCCAAUCUCCUGUGGUGCUCCCAGGCUUAUUAGGAUGAGGAAAUUCCCACCUAAUAAAUUUUAGUCAGACUGGUUGUCUGCUCUCAAACCCUGUCUCCUGAUAAGAUGUUAUCAAUGACAAUGCGUGCCUGAAACUUCAUUAGCAAUUUUAAUUUUGCCCCAGUCCUGUGGUCCUGUGAUCUCGCCCUGCCUCCAUUUACCUUGUGAUAUCUUAUUACCUUGUGAAGCAUGUGAUCUCUGUGACCCACACCCUAUUCGUACACUCCCUCCCCUUUUGGAAAUCACUAAUAAAAACUUGCUGGUUUUGUGGCUUGGGGGCAUCACGGAACCUGCCGAUAUGUGAUGUCUCCCCC
Molecule: long non-coding RNA, 4235 nt
Filed under: Homo sapiens (human)
Lineage: Eukaryota; Metazoa; Chordata; Mammalia; Primates; Hominidae
Description: HSALNT0213607
Source: RNAcentral